UGGGGAAUAUUGCACAAUGGAGGGAACUCUGAUGCAGCGACGCCGCGUGAACGAAGAAGGCUUUCGAGUCGUAAAGUUCUUUUAUAUGGGAAGAUAAUGACGGUACCAUAAGAAAAAGCCCCGGCUAACUACGUGCCAGCAGCCGCGGUAAUACGUAGGGGGCUAGCGUUGUCCGGAAUCACUGGGCGUAAAGGGUUCGCAGGCGGAAAUGCAAGUCAGGUGUAAAAGGCAGUAGCUUAACUACUGUAAGCAUUUGAAACUGCAUAUCUUGAGAAGAGUAGAGGUAAGUGGAAUUUUUAGUGUAGCGGUGAAAUGCGUAGAUUUUAAAAAGAAUACCGGUGGCGAAGGCGACUUACUGGGCUCAUUCUGACGCUGAGGAACGAAAGCGUGGGUAGCAAACAGG
Molecule: ribosomal RNA, 403 nt
Filed under: Verrucomicrobiota bacterium
Lineage: Bacteria; Pseudomonadati; Verrucomicrobiota
Description: Verrucomicrobia bacterium partial 16S ribosomal RNA
Rfam family: Bacterial small subunit ribosomal RNA
Source: RNAcentral